GGGUGGGGUGAUGGGAGAUUACGUAUUAGCGCUGCUGCCUACUUAAAUAAAAUUCUGAAUCGAGAUGAUGGCCAAUGCACCCAAAAAAUCGAAAAAUGGACGCGGAGGACAAUCCGUGGCUUAGACGGGAGAUCACGUUUGAAGAAUGAGAAUCUGAAUAAUAAAGCCCCAGGUCCCGACGACUUCCCGGCUGCCUUCUGCCAAAGGAUGUGGCCUCACACAUUAAUAAAGCUAUUGAAGUCUCUUAAAAGCAGGUCAGAUCCUCAAAUCGAGAAAUUCUACGUUUAUCACACUUAUUCCGAAGCGGGAAGUUAGCGAUUCCUUCGAUCUUUAUCGGCCUCGCUAUGCAAUUAUGUGUACAAGAAAAAUGAAGAAAUUCUUGCGAAUAGGCUAUGCAACCGAAAGUCAUAAGUUUUAUUGAACCAGAUGGCGUUCGUUAAAAGAAGAGGGAUAGUUUACAAGAUUUUGCUAUCUUCUAGAAAUUUUGAGGAAAUUUCACCGCUCCGCAGUUUUCUGCUAAAAUAGAUUUGCACAAAGCAUUCGAUUCGGUAAAUAGAAACUUCUUUCUUGAUGCUCUAAGAGGCCUGGGCUUUGAUCGGAAAUGGAUCAAUUGGAAAAAACGAAUGCAUCUCGACUCCUUCUUUC
Molecule: long non-coding RNA, 645 nt
Filed under: Nicotiana benthamiana
Lineage: Eukaryota; Viridiplantae; Streptophyta; Magnoliopsida; Solanales; Solanaceae
Description: long non-coding RNA (NBEN_LNC006888)
Source: RNAcentral